CCUACGGGUGGCUGCAGUGGGGAAUAUUGGACAAUGGGGGAAACCCUGAUCCAGCAAUGCCGCGUGUGUGAAGAAGGCCUGCGGGUUGUAAAGCACUUUCGGUUGGGAAGAAAAGUUUGGCGCCAAUACCGCCGAACCUUGACGUUACUGACAGAAGAAGCACCGGCUAAAUCUGUGCCAGCAGCCGCGGUAAUACAGAGGGUGCAAGCGGUAAUCGGAAUGACUGGGCGUAAUCAUGCAGUAGGUGGGUGAAAGCCCCGGGCUUAACCGGGGAACUGCAUUCGAUACUACAUGGCGAGAGUAUGGUAGAGGGAAGUGGAAUUUCCGGUGUAGCGGUGAAAUGCGUAGAUAUCGGAAGGAACACCAAUGGCGAAGGCAGCUUCCUGGACUAAUACUGACACUGAGGCACGAAAGCGUGGGUAGCAAACAGGAUUAGAUACCCUAGUAGUC
This 450-nucleotide ribosomal RNA is filed under the name uncultured bacterium. Its description in RNAcentral is "partial 16S ribosomal RNA". It matches the Rfam family "Bacterial small subunit ribosomal RNA", at positions 338 to 795 of the family's 1533-position model. The record is from RNAcentral.